UAAACGACUCUCGGCAACGGAUAUCUCGGCUCUCGCAUCGAUGAAGAACGUAGCGAAAUGCGAUACUUGGUGUGAAUUGCAGAAUCCCGUGAACCAUCGAGUUUUUGAACGCAAGUUGCGCCCAAAGCCACUCGGCCGAGGGCACGUCUGCCUGGGCGUCACGUA
This 165-nucleotide ribosomal RNA is filed under the name Myriophyllum aquaticum. RNAcentral's name for it is "5.8S ribosomal RNA". It matches the Rfam family "5.8S ribosomal RNA". From Rfam's summary of the family: 5.8S ribosomal RNA (5.8S rRNA) is a component of the large subunit of the eukaryotic ribosome. It is transcribed by RNA polymerase I as part of the 45S precursor that also contains 18S and 28S rRNA. Functionally, it is thought that 5.8S rRNA may be involved in ribosome translocation. Lineage: Eukaryota; Viridiplantae; Streptophyta; Magnoliopsida; Saxifragales; Haloragaceae. The record is from RNAcentral.